RNAcentral lists this ribosomal RNA (1761 nucleotides) under Ambystoma mexicanum (axolotl). RNAcentral describes it as "SSU rRNA". It matches the Rfam family "Eukaryotic small subunit ribosomal RNA". The record is from RNAcentral. Lineage: Eukaryota; Metazoa; Chordata; Amphibia; Caudata; Ambystomatidae.
GCUAGUUGAUCCUGUUAGAAGCAUUUUCUUGUCUCAAAGAUUAAGCCAUGCACGUGUAAGUACACACGGGCAGUACAGUAAAUCAGUUAUGGUUCCUUUGAUCGACCACCUGUUACAUGAAUAACUGUGGUAAUACUACAGUUAAUACAGGCUGACUGGCACUGACCUCCUGGGAAUGCAUACAUUUAUCAGAACAAGACCAAUACGGGCUGGCCCAGCCGCUUUGGUGACACUAGAUAACCUCUGGCCGACUGCAUGUCCCUGUAAUGGCCAUGAUACAUUCAGAUCUUAGCCCUAUCAAUCUUCUAUGGUACUUUCUGUGCCUACCAUGGUGACCACGGGUAACUGGGAAUCAGGGUUUGAUUCCAGAGAGGGAGCCUGAGAAACAGCUACCACACCCAAAGAAGGCAGCAGGAACGCAAACGACCCUUUCCCUAGUCGGGGAAGUAGUGACGAAAAAUAACAAUACAGCACUCUUUUGAUGCCCUGUAAUUGGAAUGAGUACACUUUAAAUCAUUACCGAGGAUCCAUUGGAGAGCAAGUCUGGUGCCAGCAGCCACAGUAACUCCAGCUCCAAUAGCGUAUAUUAAAGUUGCUGCAAAAGUAGUUGGAUCCUGGGAUCGAGCUGACAGUCCGCUGCAACGAGAGCUACUGCCUGUCCCAGCCAUUCCCUCUCAGCGCCCCCUUGAUGUUCGUGUGUCCUGGGGUCUGAAGAGUUUACAUUGAAAAGAUUACAGUGUUCUAAGCAGGCCGGUCACCUGAAUACUUCAGUCAGGAAUAAUGGGCUAGGAUUACGGAUCUAUUUUGUUGGUUUACGGAACUGGGUCCAUGAAUAAAUGGGGGCGGGCGACAUUCGUAUUGUGCCACUAGAGGUGAAAUUCUUGGACUGGCGCAAGAACCACCAAAAGGAAAGCAUUUGCCAAGAAUAUUUUAAUUAAUCAAGAAUUAAAGUGGGAGGUUCGAAGACUAUCUGAUACCGUCGUAGUUCCGACCAUAAACAAAGCUGACUAGCUAUCCGGCAGGGUAAUUCCCAUGAUCCCCUGACCAACUUCCGGGAAACCAAGCUUUGGUUUCUGGGGGAGUAUGGUUGCAAAGCUGAAACUUAAAAGAAUUGACGUGACGGCACCACCAGAGGUGGAGCCUGCGGCUUAAUUUGACUCAAUACGGGAAACCUCACCUGGCCUGGACACUGACAGGAUUGACAGAUUGAUAGCUCGUUCUCAAUUCUGUCGGGUGGUGCAUGGCCGUUCUUAGUUGGUGGAGCGAUUUGUCUGGUUAAUUCCGAUAACAAAUUAGACUGCACCAUGCCAACUAGUUACGCGGCCCUCAGCGGUCGGCGUUCAACUUCUAAGAGGGACAAGUGGUGUUCAGCCACACGAUAUCGAGCAAUAACAGGUUUCUGAUGCACUUAUAGGUCUUGAGCUACAUGCGCGCUAUACUGAAUGGAUCAGCGUGUGUCUACCCUUCCCCGACAGGUUUUGGUAAGCCGCUGAACCCUGUUUGUGAUAGGGAUUGGGGAAUGCAAUUAUUUUCCAUGAACGAGAAAUUCCCAGUAAGUGAGGAUCAUAAGCUUGCACUGAUUAAGUCCAUGCUGUUUGUACACACCGCCCCUCGCUACUACCGAUUGGAUGGUUUAGUGAGGUCCUCAGAUUGGCUCCAAAUGGUCUUGCAAAUCGUGCACUCCUUAUUGAUUCCUUGGAAUGUAUUUUUAUUGAUCGGUUUUGGGACUACUGUACAUUUUUGGUGACCCUCGUGUGAUUU